This 498-nucleotide ribosomal RNA is filed under the name uncultured bacterium. Its description in RNAcentral is "partial 16S ribosomal RNA". It matches the Rfam family "Bacterial small subunit ribosomal RNA", at positions 30 to 523 of the family's 1533-position model. The record is from RNAcentral.
AUUGAACGCUGGCGGCAUGCCUUACACAUGCGAGUCGAACGGUAACAGGUCUUCGGAUGCUGACGAGUGGCGAACGGGUGAGUAAUACAUCGGAACGUGCCUAGUAGUGGGGGAUAACUACUCGAAAGAGUGGCUAAUACCGCAUGAGAUCUACGGAUGAAAGCAGGGGAUCGCAAGACCUUGUGCUACUAGAGCGGCCGAUGGCAGGUUAGGUAGUUGGUGGGAUAAAAGCUUACCAAGCCGACGAUCUGUAGCUGGUCUGAGAGGACGAUCAGCCACACUGGGACUGAGACACGGCCCAGACUCCUACGGGAGGCAGCAGUGGGGAAUUUUGGACAAUGGGCGCAAGCCUGAUUCAGCAAUGCCGCGUGCAGGAUGAAGGCCUUCGGGUUGUAAACUGCUUUUGUACGGAACGAAAAGCCCUGGGUUAAUACCCUGGGGUCAUGACGGUACCGUAAGAAUAAGCACCGGCUAACUACGUGCCAGCCGCCGCCGUAA